This 415-nucleotide ribosomal RNA is filed under the name uncultured prokaryote. Its description in RNAcentral is "bacterial SSU rRNA". It matches the Rfam family "Bacterial small subunit ribosomal RNA", at positions 505 to 918 of the family's 1533-position model. The record is from RNAcentral.
GUGUCAGCAGCCGCGGUAAAACGUAGGACGCGAGCGUUAUCCGGAUUUACUGGGCGUAAAGCGCAUGCAGGCGGCCUUGUAAGUCGGAUGUGAAAUCUCCCGGCUCAACUGGGAGGCGUCAUUCGAUACUGCAAGGCUUGAGGGCAGGAGAGGGGAGUGGAAUUCCCGGUGUAGUGGUGAAAUGCGUAGAUAUCGGGAGGAACACCAGUGGCGAAGGCGGCUCCCUGGCCUGUACCUGACGCUAAGAUGCGAAAGCUUGGGGAGCGAACGGGAUUAGAAACCCCGGUAGUCCACGCCGUAAACGAUGCGGACUAGGUGUGGGAGGUAUUGACCCCUUCCGUGCCGUAGCUAACGCGUUAAGUCCGCCGCCUGGGGACUACGGCCGCAAGGCUAAAACUCAAAGGAAUUGGCGGGG